GAUGAACGCUGGCGGCGUGCCUAAUACAUGCGAGUCGAGCGAACAGACGAGGAGCUUGCUCCUCUGACGUUAGCGGCGGACGGGUGAGUAACACGUGGAUAACCUACCUAUAAGACUGGGAUAACUUCGGGAAACCGGAGCUAAUACCGGAUAACAUGUUGAACCGCAUGGUUCAACAGUGAAAGACGGUUUUGCUGUCACUUAUAGAUGGAUCCGCGCCGCAUUAGCUAGUUGGUAAGGUAACGGCUUACCAAGGCAACGAUGCGUAGCCGACCUGAGAGGGUGAUCGGCCACACUGGAACUGAGACACGGUCCAGACUCCUACGGGAGGCAGCAGUAGGGAAUCUUCCGCAAUGGGCGAAAGCCUGACGGAGCAACGCCGCGUGAGUGAAGAAGGUCUUCGGAUCGUAAAACUCUGUUAUUAGGGAAGAACAAAUGUGUAAGUAACUAUGCACGUCUUGACGGUACCUAAUCAGAAAGCCACGGCUAACUACGUG
This 497-nucleotide ribosomal RNA is filed under the name uncultured bacterium. RNAcentral describes it as "partial 16S ribosomal RNA". It matches the Rfam family "Bacterial small subunit ribosomal RNA", at positions 28 to 507 of the family's 1533-position model. The record is from RNAcentral.